CAUAAGCAUCUUUUAGGGAGACAAGGCUGUUUGGGUCCUAUUCAGCCAUCAAGCUGCAAUAGGAGCAAAAUCAGAUUUAGCAGAUUUUUCCUUUUUCAAUUCUAAUUUCUCUGGGUUUGUGAUAAUUACUUGGCAGCUGUUUUCCAAGCACAUAUGCUUUGACUGAGUUAUUUUCAGGUCCAUUUGCCACGUGUAUGGAGGGGAAUCAUGGUACCAGGUGAGGCAGUGGGAAGAACCAGGUGUGCUCGUUGUAGUACUGGGGAUCUCUUCAUUAAAAGUUCACCAGAAAUCAUAAAUACUUUCUACAGAAGCUGUCUGUUGUGAGCUGUACCUGCCCCAGGAGUCACAGAGGGCAGCGGUGAGGAUGUUGAUUUGGGUUUAGUGUUUUCAGACCUUAACCAGCACCUAGGUGCUUUGCAGUCUCUGAGCUGACACCCCAAGGACAGAGCAUGGGGAGACAUGGUGCUGUGCCUGUCUGCUGAAACGUUGCACUCUUUGGGUUGGUACCUGAGCUGUGAUGGCUCUGCAGGACUGGAAUUGCUCGCCAGCACCAAUUAAUUAAAGCCAUCUUCCCAGAAGUGCUCUGCUAUCAGCAUCUGCAGCCAUGCUUACUGCCCUGAAGGCAAAAGUGAAGCAAAGCGAUGCCUUCAACGCUGACAGCUGUGGUGCUGCUCUGGACUUUGGGUCUGUGCAUCCAAUCCCUUGCAGGCGUGUUGUUUGACAUGGAGCUGUUGGUGUGUCUGCCCGCCUGGCUUGCUAUCUGUUGAUCUUUCUGGCUCUCUGCCUGCUAUGGUGGAGAAAUAUUGAGGCAUAAUGGAAGCUUUGCAGCUGACGGCUAA
This 839-nucleotide long non-coding RNA is filed under the name Numida meleagris (helmeted guineafowl). RNAcentral's name for it is "lncRNA (ENSNMEG00000003647.1)". Lineage: Eukaryota; Metazoa; Chordata; Aves; Galliformes; Numididae. The record is from RNAcentral.